AAAAAAAGUUAAGUAGCUGCCAGAGCUGGCCUGUUAGUGAAAACGGCUCAGAUUCAAUAAUAAGUGAAUGAAAUGGACCUUUCACAGAAACUGAAGUAGUGAUUGAAUCUCUUGUCAGCUUCUCAAAUUCCACAUGAUCAAAACAUUGCUAAUGCAGAGUUGGAUGAUACUGGACACUUGCAAGUCUCCGGACUUGUCAGCAAGCCGGCUUUGUAUUGUAUGCAUCAUUUUAUAAGCAACUAAUGCGGAGAAAGGAUGGGUGCUAUGUAUUCAUAGAAGCAAGUUAUGCACCAUACCCUAUUGGAGCUUAUUGUAGUGGUUAUGGUGCAGAGUCUUAGGCCAAAAACAAAAAACCUCAGACAACACUGAUAAGCUGAUGGUGCUUAGAGCCUUCUUCUCCUGUGGUAUCUUCAUUUAAAAAGCUCACAUUUUACUUACUGUAAAUGUGUUUUACUUGGGAUUAGAGGCAGUGCACUACAACUAGAAUAGACUCUAAUCUGGAAAAGGCAUGCAGACACCUAAAGUGUCAAAGAGGUUUCUCCCCCUACUCCUUUAGGUAUAACUUAGUCCCUCUAUCGGUUCACAUAUUUGACUGUAAUAACAUUGUCCAUUAUAUACACCUGAUGUCCCUGGAGAUGUGGCCUGAAUUACAUAAGGGCUAACCAAAAAACUUUCUACUCCCUGUGAUUGUAAGAUUUCUUUGAAUUAUGAGUUCUACAUUUCCCUUUUGUCACUAGUGAGCUCCCCAAUCCCGCCUGGAAGCAUCUGUGGUGAUGAUCAUAAAAUUUUUCAUCUGAAAAGAAAGACCCUCUGUCAGGAACAGAGACAUUGUCCACUAGCAGAAACUCAUAAAAGUUGAAAUAUCAAGUUUAAUCAACUUGUCUAGAGAUAAAGUUUCUCUGUCACACACUGUUAAUAUGUUUUUGUGCAAGGGUCUCAUCCUUGCCUUGGCCCAGCUUACUGCUAGAAUUGCAGCUGUAAAUCGACAUAAAAGCCUCAUUGCUUCUCUUAUGGAACUUAUAUUUUAUGCUUGUAAAUUUAAACGUGAGCUUGCUUAUCUUUGUUCUCUUUUCUUCUGGCAGAAAAAUCUUCCAUGUGUACAGUAUGUAAGGUGAGCCCCAAGAAUUGAAUUGAGCGAGUGGAAGUCAAUUCUGAUUUUAUUUUUGUUCAUGACCCAUCCAUGUCUGUUUAAGGAAUCUGAAGCAGUUCUUAUGUACCUUAAAAGCUGUUCUGAAGAAGCUAUGAGAACCCAAUUGUCCAAGUAGGGUAAAAUAUUGAGACCUUCUUUGCUUAGGUUCGCUGUGAUAACCACCAACAUUUUUGUAAAAACCCUUGGAGAUGAGGAGAGGCCAAAAGAAAAAGUCUUGAACUAAAAAAGGAGAAGUUAUUCUUGAACUUUUAUUGAAAAUAUCACAAAGGUUCUGCUUUCUUCUGCUAGGAAAAUGUGCAGAUAAACAUCCUUUAGAAUGAGCGAACCCAGCCAGAAACCUAGUUGAUUAUUGUGAGUGGCAGAAAGAAUGAUCUCUUUUAGAUCCAAGAUCGGUCUGAAGUAACCAUCUGGUUUUUAUAGCAAAAGAAAUCUUGAGGAGGUUCUCAAAAACUAUUCUGCUCUUGGAAGUAUUUCUAUGAUUUGUUUCUGCAACAUUAUGAGCAUCUCUCUGAAAUGUACAGAGGAAGGUUUGGGAGAAUGUACAGUUCAACAAAGGACACCUCUUGGAGGUAUCUCGUUAAAGAGGUAGCCUCUUUUUAUAAUAAACAGGAUCCAGUUGUCUGUGGUGACAUAAUCCAGAAGCUUUCCUCCCACUGGAAUGGAGGGAUAAUCUGCAAUCCUUUUCAACAGAGAAUUUUGCCUUGUCCUUACAGUCAAAGGGUUGCCUCUGAUUUCUUCUGGAAUUGGGUCUCCAAAAGGACUUUCUGUAGAAUCAUGUUUUGCUCCACUUGGUCUUCUUACGAACUUCCAGUAAAGCAUUCUUUCCUUCUGUUAUUUGUUUAAACAACACAUCCAGAUAUGACCCAAAUAGUCUUCCUUGUUCAAACAGUAAAUCAUUGACUAUGUUGGAGAAGCCCACAUUGCCUUAGCGUAAAGUUUCAGAGCUUCUAAUGAAUAGUCUGACAAAAAUGUUUUUUUGAAAAUCCG
Molecule: non-coding RNA, 2137 nt
Organism: Pelobates cultripes (western spadefoot toad)
Lineage: Eukaryota; Metazoa; Chordata; Amphibia; Anura; Pelobatidae
Source: the annotation of a GenBank genome assembly